GACGUAGGGUGCGAGCGUUGUCCGGAUUUAUUGGGCGUAAAGAGCUCGUAGGCGGUUCGUCGCGUCGGCUGUGAAAACCUGCAGCUUAACUGUGGGCGUGCGGUCGAUACGGGCAUCACUGGAGUUCGGCAGGGGAGACUGGAAUUCCUGGUGUAGCGGUGAAAUGCGCAGAUAUCAGGAGGAACACCGGUGGCGAAGGCGGAUCUCUGGGCCAUUACUGACGCUGAGGAGCGAAAGCGUGGGGAGCGAACAGG
Molecule: ribosomal RNA, 254 nt
Filed under: uncultured bacterium
Lineage: Bacteria
Description: partial 16S ribosomal RNA
Rfam family: Bacterial small subunit ribosomal RNA
Source: RNAcentral